UGGUGAUAGGUGUUGCGAGUUA
This 22-nucleotide non-coding RNA is filed under the name Arabidopsis thaliana (thale cress). Lineage: Eukaryota; Viridiplantae; Streptophyta; Magnoliopsida; Brassicales; Brassicaceae. The record is from RNAcentral.